Molecule: ribosomal RNA, 400 nt
Filed under: uncultured bacterium
Lineage: Bacteria
Description: bacterial SSU rRNA
Rfam family: Bacterial small subunit ribosomal RNA
Source: RNAcentral
UGGGGAAUAUUGGACAAUGGGGGAAACCCUGAUCCAGCAAUGCCGCGUGAGUGAUGAAGGCCUUCGGGUUGUAAAGCUCUUUUGUCAGGGACGAUGAUGACGGUACCUGACGAAUAAGCUCCGGCUAACUUCGUGCCAGCAGCCGCGGUAAUACGAGGGGAGCUAGCGUUGUUCGGAAUUACUGGGCGUAAAGGGCGCGUAGGCGGUCCUAUAAGUCAGAUGUGAAAGCCCCGGGCUUAACCUGGGAGGUGCAUUUGAAACUGUAGAACUUGAGAUCGAGAGAGGAAAGCGGAAUUACGAGUGUAGAGGUGAAAUUCGUAGAUAUUCGUAAGAACACCAGUGGCGAAGGCGGCUUUCUGGCUCGAUACUGACGCUAAGGCGCGAAAGCGUGGGGAGCAAA